CCUACGGGAGGCAGCAGUGAGGAAUAUUGGUCAAUGGGCGAGAGCCUGAACCAGCCAAGUCGCGUGAAGGAUGAAGGAUCGAUGGUUUGUAAACUGCUUUUAUAGGGGAAUAAAGUGAGGAACGUGUGCCUUUUUGUAUGUACCAUAUGAAUAAGCAUCGGCUAACUCCGUGCCAGCAGCCGCGGUAAUACGGAGGAGGCGAGCGUUAUCCGGAUUUAUUGGGUUUAAAGGGUGCGUAGGUGGUUAAUUAAGUCAGCGGUGAAAGUUUGUGGCUCAACCAUAAACUUGCCGUUUAAACUGGUUGACUUGAGUAUAUUUGCGGUAGGCGGACUGCGUGGUGUAGC
Molecule: ribosomal RNA, 344 nt
Filed under: uncultured bacterium
Lineage: Bacteria
Description: partial 16S ribosomal RNA
Rfam family: Bacterial small subunit ribosomal RNA
Source: RNAcentral